RNAcentral lists this long non-coding RNA (239 nucleotides) under Elaeis guineensis (African oil palm). RNAcentral describes it as "long non-coding RNA (EGUI_LNC052114)". The record is from RNAcentral. Lineage: Eukaryota; Viridiplantae; Streptophyta; Magnoliopsida; Arecales; Arecaceae.
CUUAAAGAUGUUUCUAUAAUAGGUUUUGAAUUUGAUCUAAUCAAGCCUGACUCUAUGGGUUUACUAGAUUGUGUCAGUUCUUCUACCGAUCGAACUUCAUCAAGUUCAAUCUUUGAGACAUUAGUUCUUUCACCAAAGAACUCAUUUUCUAAAAAGAUAGCCCUAUUGCUGACAAACCUUCUAUUCAUUAGUAAAAUAGAAGUAAUAUCUCUUGGUCUCUUUUGGGUGUCCUACAAAUA